AUGCUUGUCGGUGAGAACCGGGCCGCGGUGGGUAGAGGCGUGAAGCGGGCCACGUGCCGGGUUGUUCAAAGGCUUUCAAGCACGGCAUUGAAGGAAACCCUAAAGUCCAUAUGGAACCUAGCUCAUGUUCCUGACAUUAGGGAAGCCGAUGACAAUGUUUUUGUCAUACAAGUCUUUUGCCUGGGGGAUUGGAAGAGAGUAAUGUUCCAAGGUCCAUGGAUCUUCCGUGGACUGAUGGUACUCAUUGAGGAAUUUGAUGGAAAGUGUGCUCCAGAAUCUGUCAAGCUCGAGAGGAUAUCAGUGUGGGCGCAGAUCCACAAGAUCCCAGAUUUGUACCGGAAGGAACCUAUUGUAGAUCAGCUGGCAAGGAGAAUUGGCAUUGUUAGAAGUGUAGAGCUAAAUCCAACACGUUAUUUCGAGGGAAAU
This 426-nucleotide ribosomal RNA is filed under the name Triticum aestivum (bread wheat). Its description in RNAcentral is "partial small subunit ribosomal RNA". The record is from RNAcentral. Lineage: Eukaryota; Viridiplantae; Streptophyta; Magnoliopsida; Poales; Poaceae.